GGACCCGCACAAGCGGUGGAUGAUGUGGUUUAAUUCGACGCAACGCGAAAAACCUUACCUACCCUUGACAUGUCUGGAAUUUUGCAGAGAUGUGAAAGUGCUCGAAAGAGAGCCAGAACACAGGUGCUGCAUGGCCGUCGUCAGCUCGUGUCGUGAGAUGUUGGGUUAAGUCCCGCAACGAGCGCAACCCUUGUCAUUAGUUGCUACGAAAGGGCACUCUAAUGAGACUGCCGGUGACAAACCGGAGGAAGGUGGGGAUGACGUCAGGUCAUCAUGGCCCUUAUGGGUAGGGCUACACACGUCAUACAAUGGCCGGUACAGAGGGCUGCCAACCCGCGAGGGGGAGCCAAUCCCAGAAAACCGGUCGUAGUCCGGAUCGCAGUCUGCAACUCGACUGCGUGAAGUCGGAAUCGCUAGUAAUCGCGGAUCAGCUUGCCGCGGUGAAUACGUUCCCGGGUCUU
RNAcentral lists this ribosomal RNA (461 nucleotides) under uncultured bacterium. Its description in RNAcentral is "bacterial SSU rRNA". It matches the Rfam family "Bacterial small subunit ribosomal RNA", at positions 917 to 1382 of the family's 1533-position model. The record is from RNAcentral.